This is a long non-coding RNA of Canis lupus familiaris (dog), 402 nucleotides long. RefSeq lists it as uncharacterized. NCBI's taxonomy places the organism in Eukaryota, Metazoa, Chordata, Mammalia, Carnivora, Canidae. The transcript is spliced from 2 exons. The record is from RefSeq and is a predicted model, not a curated record.
GCGGGCUCGGGCUCGGGCUCGGGCUCGGGCUCGGCCUCGGAGCCGCCCCUGCGGCAGGUUGCGCGGUCGUGCCCUUGGCUGCGCGAGGCUCGGAGCCCGGGCCGCGGGGCGCGCUCUCUCGGGGCCCGGACCGCCCGGAUCGCCGGCUUUCCGAACUCCUCCGAGACAGAACCUUUAAAGCCCCUUGAGCCCGGUACCUACCAGUCGUUGCGAGGCUCUGGAGAAAGAAGGGUUAUUUCCUGAAGAUUUGAUAAAAAUGAAAUACGGUCUAUACAACAGACAAAAGUAUCACUGCCCGGGGGGUGCAUAAUCCGAUAUACCAGUUGUCAAACAAUUAGCGAUGAACCUUCCUGCGUGGAAAACUUGACCGUAUAUGGAAUUGAAAGAAAAACUUGACAUCGA